AAAGUAGCUUGAAAACUGAUUCAGCUGUUUGAGAACCUAUUACUUUCUUUCAGCUUCAGUAGGAUAUGUCAGAAGCCCUGAUGAAGGGCUGAGGGAUCAGGAACCUACAGCUGUGGACAAGUCUGUGAAGCAAUGUUUGAAAUUCUUCCAGCUAUGCUCCCAGAAGGUGUUUUUGCAGACUCGAUAGCCUUUUAAAAAACCCAGAAAGCUGAUUUGCUCCCAUCUUCCCCAGCAACCUGCUAGGAGGAAUGUCACUGUUUUGAAGCUGUAGGUGUGCUGGAAAUUUUGGAGGACUUUGUGACUUCUGUCAUGCCCAUUUUGAGUGUAACUCUUAUGUAUUCUAAAAACUGACAUCAGUGUGACUGAUUUAUAAUACAUGGGUCUGAAUAAAGUUUUUCUCAUAUUUAUACAAAACUUAAAAAAUGGAAUGGUUAUGGGAGCUGAAUAGACUUACAGAAAAUACAUAAAUUUGAAGAUGUGGUUCUGUAGGGCUUAGCUACAGUGAGCAAAGCUCAAUGAGCUUUGGCUUAGACCUUUGUCUGUUAUUAAUCCCACUGAUGUCCAUAUCUCAGGACUGUGCCCUCUGCUUGCUAAAUACUUGUCACAGGCCUUCACAUUCUUAAGUUGGGUACUGUUGUAUCAUUACUCCCUUGCUCAUUUGUGCUCAGAGAAUGAUAAAUUGCUUAUUAGUUCAACUAUUAUUUAAGUUUGUUUUAAAAAAAAAAGGCUUUAUUUUCCAUCUGUAUUAAAUUUAGAUAUGGCCUAAUGGUAUGCUUGUUAUUAAUGAAAACUAAUAUCCAUGGCUAUCAUGUAAAAUGUUAAUGUUGUUUCUAGUUUAUUUUAUUUUACUUGCUGACUUCACUGUAUUACAUUAAUCUGUCUUGAUAAUUUGAUCUUCUAUCUUUUGUCCUAUUCCUGAUAUGUAUGUGUUUUCCUGAUAUAUCCAUUACUAAAACACUAGCUUCCUAAAACAUUGGUUCGUUUCCUACUUAGCAAUAGCAAUUAUGCUAUUAAGAACUUUGAAGAAAGUUCAAGUCGCUUUUGUCUUAAUAUUUCCAACUAUUCUUUUUCUUUAUUUCACCUAGACUCUUUUUUUCCUUUCUAUGGAAAAUUUCAACAGCAUUCCCACAAAAUGUUACCCUGAACAAAUGAAAAAAUGUGUUUAUAUUUCAUAGUUAAACUAAGAAAUAAUAGUAUUGUGCAUGGCAACCCUU
Long non-coding RNA from Oxyura jamaicensis (ruddy duck), 1214 nucleotides. RefSeq lists it as uncharacterized. NCBI's taxonomy places the organism in Eukaryota, Metazoa, Chordata, Aves, Anseriformes, Anatidae. The record is from RefSeq and is a predicted model, not a curated record. The transcript is spliced from 4 exons.